AGUUCCUGUGAAGGGAAAUCUUAACACUACAGCAUACAAUGACAUUUCUGUGCUUCCAGUGGAAAGGCACAAAGUGAGGUCCAUACAGAAAUGGUUCGACUAGAUCGGUGUGGAAGAACUUGACUGGCCUGCAUAGAGACCUGACCUCAACCCCAUUGAACACCUAUGGGAUGAAUUGGUAUGCCGACUAAGAGCCAGGCCUAACCACCCAAACUCAGUGCCCGACCUCACUAAUACUCUUGUGGCUGAAUGGAAGCAAGUCCCAGCAGCAAUGUUCCAACAUCUAGUGGAAAGCCUUCCCAGAAGAGCAGAGGCUGUUAUAGCAGCAAAGGGUGGACCAACUCCAUAUUAAUGCCCAUGAUUUAGGAAUGAGAUGUUCCACGAGUAGGCGUCCACAUACUUUUGGUCAUGUAGUGUAUAUUGCCUCUGGUGGCCUUGCGUGCGCGUAUGUGUGUGUGCGCGUGCUCGUUACGAGACAGGGACAUUUUCAUUGUUCAUUUAUUAUGGAUACCCACAUACAUUUUGUUAUGUUAUGCUCAUCAAAAACAAUGCCUACCACUCUGUCUCCAUGUACCAGAAUGCUGCCGUUGGUAACAACAUUCUCACCUUUACUGUUAAGGCUGCAAGCUCUACCAACAAAAUAUGAUCUAGCACUCUGGUACCCUGCAAACCAUGAUCCAUUUUGUAUUCUACAUGAUUCAAAUGCAACGGAGUCCAUUGCCCAUGUUGUAAACGGCUGCUGUUCAUAGAAGGAUGCCAAAAAGCUGCUUAAAUACCAGCCCCUCGUGGCACGCUGGGAUGCCUCGGGUGUAGGUGCAAGCUGGUGGCGCUGAUAUUUGGCAGUCUCGGCCAGGUACACAGGCUUGCAGGGCGUGGCCUCCAGUAUGCGGGCCUGACAAAAAACUAGGGCAAAGCAAUUGUCUAGGUACUGCUCUGUUUCAGCUGUCGUGGGCAGCCUAGCUGUGUGGAGAAGGUACUGCUCUGUUUCAGCUGUCAUGGGCAGCCUAGCUGUGUGGAGAAGGUACUGCUCUGUUUCAGCUGUCGUGGGCAGCCUAGCUGUGUGGAGGAGGUACUGCUCUGUUUCAGCUGUCGUGGGCAGCCUAGCUGUGUGGAGGAGGUACUGCUCUGUUUCAGCUGUUAUGGGCAGCCUAGCUGUGUGGAGGAGGUACUGCUCUGUUUCAGCUGUUAUGGGCAGCCUAGCUGUGUGGAGGAGGUACUGCUCUGUUUCAGCUGUUAUGGGCAGCCUAGCUGUGUGGAGGAGGUACUGCUCUGUUUCAGCUGUCGUGGGCAGCCUAGCUGUGUGGAGGAGGUACUGCUCUGUUUCAGCUGUUAUGGGCAGCCUAGCUGUGUGGAGGAGGUACUGCUCUGUUUCAGCUGUUAUGGGCAGCCUAGCUGUGUGGAGGAGGUACUGCUCUGUUUCAGCUGUUAUGGGCAGCCUAGCUGUGUGGAGGAGGUACUGCUCUGUUUCAGCUGUUAUGGGCAGCCUAGCUGUGUGGAGGAGGUACUGCUCUGUUUCAGCUGUCGUGGGCAGCCUAGCUGUGUGGAGGAGGUACUGCUCUGUUUCAGCUGUUAUGGGCAGCCUAGCUGUGUGGAGGAGGAGGUACUGCUCUGUCGUGGGCAGCCUAGCUGUUUGGACAAGGAGAUUAUUUCUGUAACCUUGAGUGCAACGCAUACACAUUUAGAUCCUUUUCUUGUACAUUUGACUGGUGGAUUCAAAUAAAGUAUGUAGAGUGUGUGUGUGUGUGUGUGUGUGUGUGUGUGUGUGUGUGUGUGUGUGUGUGUGUGUG
Long non-coding RNA from Oncorhynchus keta (chum salmon), 1787 nucleotides. RefSeq lists it as uncharacterized. The record is from RefSeq and is a predicted model, not a curated record. NCBI's taxonomy places the organism in Eukaryota, Metazoa, Chordata, Actinopteri, Salmoniformes, Salmonidae. The transcript is spliced from 3 exons.